GUUUCUUAGGGCUGCUCUGGGAUCCUGGCUGUUGUUCUGAUGACAUUGGAUCCUGCGAGGCAGGAUUUGGGCGUCUUCCAUCCCACGUGGGCGAUCCAAACGGGAGUGGAUGACCUCAGUGUUCUCGGCCUCCGAAGGCAUUCCAAUUCC
Molecule: long non-coding RNA, 150 nt
Organism: Ochotona curzoniae (black-lipped pika)
Lineage: Eukaryota; Metazoa; Chordata; Mammalia; Lagomorpha; Ochotonidae
Exons: 3
Source: RefSeq, a predicted model, not a curated record